This is a non-coding RNA of Schistosoma curassoni, 46 nucleotides long. NCBI's taxonomy places the organism in Eukaryota, Metazoa, Platyhelminthes, Trematoda, Strigeidida, Schistosomatidae. The record is from Rfam.
ACACUGCUGAGGAGUCCCAUAAUAGGACGAAACGGCCGUCCAGUGU